Rosa chinensis is the source of this 774-nucleotide long non-coding RNA. RefSeq lists it as uncharacterized. The record is from RefSeq and is a predicted model, not a curated record. NCBI's taxonomy places the organism in Eukaryota, Viridiplantae, Streptophyta, Magnoliopsida, Rosales, Rosaceae. The transcript has 5 exons.
GUUGCCCUAACUAUUCGACAGCCUCUAUUCUUCCUCUUCGUUCUACACCAACUCCUCGCUCUAUUCCUCCUCUUCAUCCUCUUGGUUCUUCGAAUCCAAGCAGAACUCGACGCCUCGUCCUCCAUCUUUUUCGAGUCAGGCCAGCUCUUGUACGUGCUCGAAGACAGUGAACAGCAUCGGUUCCUCAAGGCCGCCGUUUCGGAGAAACUUUGAGCUUUUGAGUCAUAGGAAUUGUGUUUCAUCUACCAAGUUAUUCUUCAUUCAGCUGGGCAAAGUUCGAAGCUUCCAUGACCGUGUAACUGGAGCUUUCUAGGCAUUCUUUAUCUCUGCUUUACUUUUCGGAGAUUAUAAUCAGAGGCAAUAGAUCUUUUUCUAGUCUUGGAAGACGGAUAUUCGAUGUUUAUAUUCAGGAGAAGUUAGUGUUGAACGAUUUCGACAUUGAAAAGGAUGCCCAAGGGGUUGAUAAGCCAGUCAUCUGGGAAUUUAAAGCAGUUGAGGUUAAGAAGAAAACUUUAGAGAUCCGAUUUCAUUGGUCUGGGAAAGGGACAACAGCUUCCCCAAACAGAGGAGUAUAUGGUCCCCUUAUUUCAGCUCUCUCUAUAGAAUCAGAUCGUAAAAUACUAGAAACAGAAUUGUGGAAGAAGAUGGGAGCUUUUGAUAUGUGGAUUUGGAAUUCCUUUGUUUGUUUCUGCUCAUUAUCUCCUCUAAUUUCAGGUACCCAAAACAAUUUCUUUAGGAAUUCACUCACUCAUUGAUCUGAAAUUGUUUUUCUCU